Solanum pennellii is the source of this 1708-nucleotide RNA transcript. It is a transcript of the gene named leukocyte receptor cluster member 1 homolog, with no coding region annotated. NCBI's taxonomy places the organism in Eukaryota, Viridiplantae, Streptophyta, Magnoliopsida, Solanales, Solanaceae. The record is from RefSeq and is a predicted model, not a curated record. The transcript is spliced from 3 exons.
CCAGAAUCCGACCCGAUACCGAUUUCCUGAUCAACUUCAAUUCAUCAGAAAUUAGGGAUAUCAAAUUUCCCCAAUUCAUCGUCUGUUGUUCCGGAGAUCUAAAGCAAUCAAGCUAUGGGAGGCCAUGGAGGUUUGAACAUUCUUCCACAGAAGCGAUGGAACGUGUACAACUUCGAUAACCGUGAGAAAGUAAAGCGAGACGAGGAAGCCGCGGCUAAAGAGGAACAGCUCAAGCAGGAACAAUCUCGUAAGCGCGAUUCCGAGUAUCGGCUCGAGCAGCUCCGUCAAGCCCGUGGAUUAUCAUCAGCAGCAGCGCCGUCGUCUUCAUCGUCAAGUCACGUCAAAAAAUCGUCAUCAGAACAGAAAUCGCCGGAGGAGAAACCGGGAAAGAAGGAUUCUAACCACAUCAACUUGUUCGAAGGGAUUCGAAUCUUCGAUCCAGUUAAAGCAAAAGAUGAGGAGAAAGACGGAAGGGAUAAGAAGAGAGCGAAGAAAGAGCAACCGCCGAGAGUUAUUACUCCGGAGGAUGAGAAGUAUAGGUUAGGGUAUGGGAUUGUUGGUAAAGGAACGAAAUUGCCAUGGUAUUUGGAGAAACCGAAAGAGGAUUCCGGUGAAAAGAGUGACGAAGACAAUGAUUACUCCAGACCUGUGAAAAAGAGUAAUGGGAAAAAGACAGUGGAGGAAUUGCGACAAGAGAGGUUGGAGAGGGAGAGGAAGGAGAAGGGAAGAGAAAGAGCUUUGUUAAUGGAGAAGAAUCGAAGAGAUGGAGGAUUCUCGCGACGAAGAUGAGGCGGUUCAGAUGGAGAGAAAGUACAUUCUCGUGGGUAGAGCAUGAUUCCUUAUUUUUCUGGAAGAACAAAAAGUUAGAAGUAGUCUGUCUCUAUUCUAGAAGAAUUUCCGACAAGACUCUACCAAGUGAACUCUGAAGUAUUUCCAUCCUGUGUCUUCUGGUUUCAGAAAGCUUGGUAGAGGGCAAAGAACACAAUUAAAGUGGAUCUGUUGUACCUAGAAUUGUUUACUGAGAGCUCUCCAGGAAAAAGCAAGGCUGGAUGCAGUUCUAUUCUUGAUUAUGUCUAUUUUCAUUUCAACGAAACAUGUGCGAAAAGUUCCAUGGUCGCAUCGUAUCUACUUUAGUUUGGCAAGUGCAUCGGAGAGUCCAUAUCCUGUACGGAGAGCAAAUCUGCUCGAGGAAACCGUUCAGUUCAAAGGGCCUGAUUGACCUGGGAGUGGAUUAUGGAAUUCUUGCUUAGCCUGGGUUUAUACUUUCUGAAGUCAAAAACCAAUACCCCUGGGAAGCCAAUCCCAAAAAUGCUUCUGAGCAGCAAAUUGCUCUGCUUCUUCCCUUGGGUACAUGCUAUGAAAAAUUGAAUUUCCUUCUUGCAGUAGUAGUGCUCCUGUAUUGUUAGCUGGAAGUUGCUGAAGAUGUUUGUGCUUUAGAGAAUAAAUUAGGAGAGUCAUAGGCUACAGAAAACUCUCAAAGAUAAUCGGCUUUCCGAAAUCUUUAUCUAUAACAAGUCUUGAAUUUGUUAAUUUGGAUCUUUGAUUUGGCUGGGUUUUGUUUCUUUGCAAUUUUUUUAUGGUCAUGUCAUCUGUUCUAAUUGAAGAUAAUUCCCUUGAAAAUUUUGAAGGGGUCUUCUGUUGAACUUUUUUGUCAUUCUGUUUUGUUUUUCCUUAUUUCCUUUUUGGUUUUGAAGGUAUUAAUUCACUA